GACGAACGCUGGCGGCGUGCUUAACACAUGCAAGUCGAACGGAAAGGCCCUGCUUUUGUGGGGUGCUCGAGUGGCGAACGGGUGAGUAACACGUGAGUAACCUGCCCUUGACUUUGGGAUAACUUCAGGAAACUGGGGCUAAUACCGGAUAGGAGCUCCUGCUGCAUGGUGGGGGUUGGAAAGUUUCGGCGGUUGGGGAUGGACUCGCGGCUUAUCCGCUUGUUGGUGGGGUAGUGGCUUACCAAGGCUUUGACGGGUAGCCGGCCUGAGAGGGUGACCGGCCACAUUGGGACUGAGAGACGGCCCAGACUCGUACGGGAGGCAGCAGUGGGGAAUAUUGCACAAUGGGCGGAAGCCUGAUGCAGAAACGCCGCGUGCGGGAUGACGGCCUUCGGGUUGUAAACCGCUUUCGCCUGUGACGAAGCGUGAGUGACGGUAAUGGGUAAAGAAGCACCGGCUAACUACGUG
Molecule: ribosomal RNA, 468 nt
Filed under: uncultured bacterium
Lineage: Bacteria
Description: partial 16S ribosomal RNA
Rfam family: Bacterial small subunit ribosomal RNA
Source: RNAcentral